AGCAGCUGCGGUAAUUCCAGCUCCAAUAGCGUAUAUUAAAGUUGUUGCAGUUAAAGAGCUCGUAGUUGAAUUUCGGGAUUUGUCAGUUGGUCGGGCUUCACUGUCCGUAUUGACUUGAUGGAUUCUUACCUUCUGAAUAACCAGCAUGCUAUUAAGUUAGUGCGUUGGGGAAGCAGAUCUAUUACCUUGAAAAAAUUAGAGUGCUUAAAGCGAGCUAGUGCUUGAAUAGAUUAGCAUGGAAUAAUAAAAUAGGACGGCAUGGUUCUAUUUUGUUGGUUUCUAGGAUCACCGUAAUGAUUAAUAGGGAUAGUUGGGGGCAUUAGUAUUCAAUUGUCAGAGGUGAAAUUCUUGGAUUUAUUGAAGACUAACUACUGCGAAAGCAUUUGCCAAGGAUGUUUUCAUUAAUCAAGAACGAAAGUUAGGGGAUCGAAGACGAUCAGAUACCGUCGUAGUCUUAACCAUAAACUAUGCCGACUAGGGAUCGGAUGAUGUUAAUUUUUUAAUGACUCAUUCGGCGCCU
RNAcentral lists this ribosomal RNA (520 nucleotides) under uncultured Acaulospora. Its description in RNAcentral is "SSU rRNA". It matches the Rfam family "Eukaryotic small subunit ribosomal RNA", at positions 569 to 1088 of the family's 1831-position model. The record is from RNAcentral. Lineage: Eukaryota; Fungi; Glomeromycota; Glomeromycetes; Diversisporales; Acaulosporaceae.